Long non-coding RNA from Vigna unguiculata (cowpea), 1270 nucleotides. The record is from RefSeq and is a predicted model, not a curated record. Lineage: Eukaryota; Viridiplantae; Streptophyta; Magnoliopsida; Fabales; Fabaceae.
UUUAAUAUUUUCUCUAACCCUAAUUAAGCUCACUUCACCAAGGCAGUCCCUUCUCUGUUGCCUCUUCCAGGCUCGAGCAACUACAGCCCUUGUCGAGCGUCCACGUCGCCGAACCUAUGGAGCCGCAAUCGCUGACGUCGCUGCCCUCCAUGGUCGGCCAAGGCCAACGUCGGUGACGCCGUUUCAACUUCGCUCUUCCUUCUCAACAGUCUCUUUUUCUCGACACCAACAACACCAAUCCAACCCCUGAAACCCGUGAAUCUCGCAGAAGAUAGGGGUGGUGGUUUGGUGGUUUUUUGGCCUGGGUGUGAAAGACGCAUGUGGUGCUGGUUCGGUGGUGAAGUGCGUGCACUUGAUUUUUUGAGUGCAGGUUGGAAAUGAUGGUUCCAUCAAUGGGGAUCGGAGGUUAAUCAAUGUGGGGGUUAAGGAUUGUUAUGAAUGGUGGUUCUCUGGUUUUAAUUAUUUUGUGCAGGUUGGAUGAAUGGAAGAUGAAAAGGAUUAUGAUGGCCAAGAUGAUUGUACGAGAGCGUUGAUAGUGCACAGUGAUACUCACAGUUUUGAUGGACCACAUUUUGUUUUCCAAACUCAAACAACAACAACAUGGAGCACAUCUUGGAGUGGUUUGAUUAAUUGGUUGGGCCUGGGUUUCAAGAAUGUGAUUGUUAUUCAAUGGAAUUACAUGAGAUAUGGAGAAGGUGAAGAGUUCCCUAAUUUGAAAUUAUUUUGUUUUGCUCACUCACUGAUUGAUUAUGUGUUAAGACCUAUCAUUCUAGAUUGUGAAUAGGUGAUGAAUAAGUUAUUUGGGGAAAAAAAGCUACUUACUCUAGCUAUAUUUGUUACCCUGGCGUUGCAAAUUUUGUGUUUAUAGACUAUAGAGAUUGAAAGAAGAAUAGAAUUGGAAACAAAGGCUAAAAGGCAUAUUCAGAAACUUCUACUACUUGAGGCCACAACUUAUAAAAGGAAAUAUGUAACUCUUGUUAGUGGAACAACAACGGAGCCAGGCUUGAAGCACAUAUUGCCGCAUUUGUCAUAUUUAGAGAUGUUGGUGAAGAUCAAGAGCAUGAAGAAUGAUAAAAAAAAUCUAUAUGUUAUAGAUGAAGAGGAAGAGGAAUGGAAGUGUUGUCAAGAUAAAUUGUAUUUUUUUUCUUUUUUUUAUUUAUUUUGGAGAACAUAAUAAUUUUUAGUUAGUUGUAAACAAUUUUCCUUAUGGAAUUGUAAACAAUAUUAUAAUAUAAUUUUGUAAUAUAUGAAAAUUUUCAAUUCCAUAUUA